This 815-nucleotide long non-coding RNA is filed under the name Homo sapiens (human). Its description in RNAcentral is "non-protein coding lnc-ALPK2-2:2". Lineage: Eukaryota; Metazoa; Chordata; Mammalia; Primates; Hominidae. The record is from RNAcentral.
GCGACUCCCCGCCAGCUCCGCCAGUCUCCUCCAGCCCCGGCCCUCGGGCGCCUGAUCCAGGAGCUCGCUGAGCCUCCGCAGCAGCGGCUCCCGCAGGCGGUUGAGGGUCGCGCCGGCCGGAGGGGCGAGCAGCGGCCCCGUGGGGGCGGCCGAGGGCGGCAGGGCCUGUAGCGGGUCCCCCAACAGCGACAUGGCCCUCGCCGGCGACCCCGGACUGCCGGGGCUCCCGCCCGCCCCGUCACGGGCCUCGGCCCCGGGGCACCUUCCGCUCGCCUCCGAGCCGCGGAGGCAGGGGCGGAAGAACAAAUCUGGCAGCGCGGCACGGCCCUCAGAGGAGGAAGCUCCGCUCCCCGCCCCAAUUAGACAGGAAUCAUCUGGUUUACACCGCGUCAGACUGCCGCCCGCAAUCUCCGUCAUCAAAGCAGGCAACCCUGUAGAGGAUGCCUUUCCCUGGAAUGAUCCGGAAUGGACGACACCUGAGCUCUCUCUGCCAAUCUUAGCAACAUCCAAGGCCAUUAUCCCUUUGAAAACUAUGGCUUCGUUUGGGACAAAAAGGAAGUAACUUACGAAAUGUGACCAGUCAGGUAGUUCCCUACACGAGGCUUCCUGGCCCAAUUUCUGUUGCCAUUAGCUUUUCAUCACCCAAGGCCGCAGGAUUUUCUGACCAGUAAUUUGGAUACCUAUAUUCUUAUACAUGUUGGCGAGGUAGGUGCGCCAUACAGUCUCCACCACAUUCUAGCACAAGCAGUCAUUAAACUUCACUCUAGCAUAAGUUAAGAAUUCAGACUGCAGUGAGAUGGCUAAGAGCAUGAAAG